GGUGGAUUGUUGUAGGUGAAUUUGGGUGGAGGUUGUAGGUGAAUUUGGAUGGAUUGUUGUAGGUGAAUUUGGGUGGAGGUUGUAGGUGAAUUUGGAUGGAUUGUUGUAGGUGAAUUUGGGUGUAUGUUGUAGGUGAAUUUGGGUGGAGGUUGUAGGUGAAUUUGGGUGGAUUGUUGUAGGUGAAUUUGGGUGUAUGUUGUAGGUGAAUUUUGGGUGGAGGUUGUAGGUGAAUUUGGGUGGAUUGUUGUAGUUUUAAUGCAAUGGUCAACAUUUAUUUCACUAAAAUUUCAAUGUUUACAAAUGUAAUUUUAAUGCGAUGGCUAAC
This 325-nucleotide long non-coding RNA is filed under the name Malus domestica (apple). RNAcentral's name for it is "long non-coding RNA (MDOM_LNC009695)". The record is from RNAcentral. Lineage: Eukaryota; Viridiplantae; Streptophyta; Magnoliopsida; Rosales; Rosaceae.